This 257-nucleotide ribosomal RNA is filed under the name uncultured bacterium. Its description in RNAcentral is "partial 16S ribosomal RNA". It matches the Rfam family "Bacterial small subunit ribosomal RNA", at positions 524 to 779 of the family's 1533-position model. The record is from RNAcentral.
UACGUAGGGAGCAAGCGUUGUCCGGAAUCAUUGGGCGUAAAGCGCGCGUAGGUGGCCAUUUAAGUCCGCUGUGAAAGUCAAAGGCUCAACCUUUGAAAGCCGGUGGAUACUGGAUGGCUAGAGUACGGAAGAGGACAGCGGAACUGCGAGUGUAGAGGUGAAAUUCGUAGAUAUUCGCAAGAACACCAAGGCGAGGACGCGAGUGUCCUGGGACGUCUGACGCUGCGGUGCGAAAAGCGAGGGGAGCAGAACGAGUA